AGUGAACGCUGGCGGCGUGCUUAACACAUGCAAGUCGAACGAGAACGGGUUAUAGCUUGCUAUAAUUGUCAGCUAAGUGGCGCACGGGUGAGUAAUGUAUAGGUAAUAUGCCUCUUACUAAGGGAUAACAAAUGGAAACGUUUGCUAAUACCUUAUACUCCUUAUUAACAGAAGUUAAUAAGGGAAAGAUUUAUUGGUAAGAGAUUAGCCUGUAUUGUAUCAGUUAGUUGGUGGGGUAAUGGCUUAACAAGACUAUGACACAUAACUGGUUUGAGAGGAUGAUCAGUCACACUGGAACUGAGACACGGUCCAGACUCCUACGGGAGGCAGCAGUGGGGAAUAUUGCACAAUGGACGAAAGUCUGAUGCAGCAACGCCGCGUGGAGGAUGACACAUUUCGGUGCGUAAACUCCUUUUAUAUGAGAAGAUAAUGACGGUAUUAUAUGAAUAAGCACCAGCUAACUCCGUGCCAGCCGCCGCCGUAA
RNAcentral lists this ribosomal RNA (484 nucleotides) under uncultured bacterium. RNAcentral's name for it is "partial 16S ribosomal RNA". It matches the Rfam family "Bacterial small subunit ribosomal RNA", at positions 29 to 523 of the family's 1533-position model. The record is from RNAcentral.